CAGUCGCCGCGGUAAAACGUAGGUGGCAAGCGUUGUCCGGAAUUAUUGGGCGUAAAGGGCUCGCAGGCGGUUUCUUAAGUCUGAUGUGAAAGCCCCCGGCUCAACCGGGGAGGGUCAUUGGAAACUGGGAAACUUGAGUGCAGAAGAGGAGAGUGGAAUUCCACGUGUAGCGGUGAAAUGCGUAGAGAUGUGGAGGAACACCAGUGGCGAAGGCGACUCUCAGGUCUGUAACUGACGCUGAGGAGCGAAAGCGUGGGGAGCGAACAGGAUUAGAUACCCCCGUAGUCCCUGUCUCUUAUAC
RNAcentral lists this ribosomal RNA (301 nucleotides) under uncultured bacterium. RNAcentral's name for it is "partial 16S ribosomal RNA". It matches the Rfam family "Bacterial small subunit ribosomal RNA", at positions 509 to 807 of the family's 1533-position model. The record is from RNAcentral.